RNAcentral lists this ribosomal RNA (253 nucleotides) under uncultured bacterium. RNAcentral describes it as "partial 16S ribosomal RNA". It matches the Rfam family "Bacterial small subunit ribosomal RNA", at positions 524 to 776 of the family's 1533-position model. The record is from RNAcentral.
UACGUAGGGCGCAAGCGUUGUCCGGAAUUAUUGGGCGUAAAGAGCUCGUAGGCGGCUUGUCACGUCGGGUGUGAAAGCCCGGGGCUUAACCCCGGGUCUGCAUUCGAUACGGGCUAGCUAGAGUGUGGUAGGGGAGAUCGGAAUUCCUGGUGUAGCGGUGAAAUGCGCAGAUAUCAGGAGGAACACCGGUGGCGAAGGCGGAUCUCUGGGCCAUUACUGACGCUGAUGCGCGAAAGCUAGGGGAGCGAACGGG